RNAcentral lists this ribosomal RNA (484 nucleotides) under uncultured bacterium. RNAcentral describes it as "partial 16S ribosomal RNA". It matches the Rfam family "Bacterial small subunit ribosomal RNA", at positions 30 to 507 of the family's 1533-position model. The record is from RNAcentral.
AUUGAACGCUGGCGGAAUGCUUUACACAUGCAAGUCGAACGGCAGCACGGGGGCAGCCCUGGUGGCGAGUGGCGAACGGGUGAGUAAUACAUCGGAACGUGCCCGGUCGUGGGGGAUAACGUAGCGAAAGUUACGCUAAUACCGCAUACGAUCUGAGGAUGAAAGCGGGGGAACUUCGGUCAUCGCGCCAUCGGCAUGACCGAGAUCAGGAUCGGUAUUUGGUGGGGUAGAGGCCUACCAAGCGGACAACCUUUAGCUGGUCUGAAAGGCCGACCAGCCACCCGGGACCUGGGCCCCGCCCCAGACCCCUCCGGGAGGCAGCAGUGGGGAAUUUUGGACAAUGGGCGCAAGCCGGAUCCAGCCAUCCCGCGUGCAGGACGAAGGCUUUCGGGUUGUAAACUGCUUUUGUACGGAACGAAAAGGCUCUGGCUAAUACCUGGGGCUCAUGACGGUACCGUAAGAAUAAGCACCGGCUAACUACGUG